Molecule: ribosomal RNA, 512 nt
Filed under: uncultured bacterium
Lineage: Bacteria
Description: partial 16S ribosomal RNA
Rfam family: Bacterial small subunit ribosomal RNA
Source: RNAcentral
GAUGAACGCUGGCGGCGUGCCUAAUACAUGCAAGUCGAACGAAACUUCUUUAUCACCGAGUGCUUGCGCUCACCGAUACAGAGUUGAGUGGCGAACGGGUGAGUAACACGUGGGCAACCUGCCCAAAAGAGGGGGAUAACACUUGGAAACAGGUGCUAAUACCGCAUAACCAUAGUUACCGCAUGGUAACUAUGUAAAAGGUGGCUGUACUACCUCUUUUUGAUGGGCCGGGGGCGCAUUACCUAGUUGGUAGGGUAAAGGCUUACCAAGGCAAUGAUGCGUAGACGAAUUGAGUGGUUGAUCGGCCACAUUGGGACUGAGACACGGCCAAAACGCCUACGGGAGGCAGCAGUAGGGAAUCUUCCACAAUGGGCGAAAGCCUGAUGGAGCAACGCCGCGUGGGUGAAGAAGGUCUUCGGAUCGUAAAACCCUGUUGUUAGAGAAGAAAGUGCGUGAGAGUAACUGUUCACGUUUCGACGGUAUCUAACAAGAAAGCCACGGCUAACUACGUG